Molecule: ribosomal RNA, 346 nt
Filed under: uncultured eukaryote
Lineage: Eukaryota
Description: SSU rRNA
Rfam family: Eukaryotic small subunit ribosomal RNA
Source: RNAcentral
AUAGCGUAUAUUAAAGUUGUUGCAGUUAAAAAGCUCGUAGUUGAAACUUGGGUCUGGCUAGCGGGUCCGCCUCACCGCGUGCACUUGUCCGGCUGGACCUUUCCUUCUGGAGAACCUCAUGCCCUUCACUGGGUGUGUUGGGGAACCAGGACUUUUACUUUGAAAAAAUUAGAGUGUUCAAAGCAGGCUUAUGCUCGAAUACAUUAGCAUGGAAUAAUAAAAUAGGACGUGCGGUUCUAUUUUGUUGGUUUCUAGAGUCGCCGUAAUGAUUAAUAGGGAUAGUUGGGGGCAUUAGUAUUCAGUUGCUAGAGGUGAAAUUCUUGGAUUUACUGAAGACUAACUAUUG